GGGGGGGGGACGCGGACUUCUCUAUGUGACCUCGUGGUACAAGUGACCGUGGCUGCAGAGGACGAGAAAAGCCCAUGAAGCUGAAAAAUUUUGCAAAGAGAAAACAAUUGCCCCGCAGACCACGACUAGAGCCCCAUAAAAGCUCACCCACAGGAGGACCUGGUCCUGAAGGGACAAGGCCAGAAGCUGCCACACUGGGCCAUACUGUCUGAAGGAGAAGAGGAGCCUUUCCAGGGAAACGACAGGAACAACCACAGAAGGAAAUGCUCCAGAUGCCGCUCUAGCUCACCUCGCUGUGUUACCAAAUGCAAGUUGCUAAGAUCUUCCAGAG
Long non-coding RNA from Peromyscus leucopus (white-footed mouse), 331 nucleotides. RefSeq lists it as uncharacterized. The record is from RefSeq and is a predicted model, not a curated record. The transcript is spliced from 3 exons. NCBI's taxonomy places the organism in Eukaryota, Metazoa, Chordata, Mammalia, Rodentia, Cricetidae.